UGUAGCCAGGGCUUGGGCCUG
RNAcentral lists this microRNA (21 nucleotides) under Eisenia fetida (common brandling worm). Its description in RNAcentral is "Efe-Mir-1999-P2_3p (mature (guide))". Lineage: Eukaryota; Metazoa; Annelida; Clitellata; Crassiclitellata; Lumbricidae. The record is from RNAcentral.